RNAcentral lists this long non-coding RNA (209 nucleotides) under Elaeis guineensis (African oil palm). Its description in RNAcentral is "long non-coding RNA (EGUI_LNC072943)". Lineage: Eukaryota; Viridiplantae; Streptophyta; Magnoliopsida; Arecales; Arecaceae. The record is from RNAcentral.
GACGAUUAGGUCAACUCUUAACCUAAUCGGGUCAAACCCAACAGAAUCCAAUUCAAUUGGACUUGAUCCAAAAAUAAUUACUUAAUCAAAUUGAGUUAAUUAGUGAUCAAAUCACUAAUUAAACCUCUCAUAAAUACUGAGUUCAAAUUCGAUGGGCAAUCAGGCAUCAGAAUUCAUCGAUAUGUAAACCUGAUCGAAAAAUCCCAACC